UCUGUUGAAGAUGAUGAAUUGGUAUCUUUUAUACUCUCUGGGCUUGAUUCCGAUUACAACCCUAUUGUUUCCUCUGUUUUGAGCAGAACAGACCCUAUCUCUCUUGGCGAUCUGUUCUCUCAACUCCUCACCUAUGAAU
Molecule: small nucleolar RNA, 139 nt
Organism: Phragmites australis (common reed)
Lineage: Eukaryota; Viridiplantae; Streptophyta; Magnoliopsida; Poales; Poaceae
Product: small nucleolar RNA Z247
Exons: 1
Source: RefSeq, a predicted model, not a curated record